UGCCAGACUCCUACGGGAGGCAGCAGUGAGGAAUAUUGGUCAAUGGGCGAGAGCCUGAACCAGCCAAGUCGCGUGAGGGAGUACUGCCCUAUGGGUUGUAAACCUCUUUUGUCGGGGAGCAAAAGCCGGACGUGUCCGGCUGUGAGAGUACCCGAAGAAAAAGCAUCGGCUAACUCCGUGCCAGCAGCCGCGGCAAUACGGAGGAUGCGAGCGUUAUCCGGAUUUAUUGGGUUUAAAGGGUGCGUAGGCUGUGAGGUAAGUCAGCGGUAAAAUGCCCCCGCUCAACGGGGGGAAGUGCCGUUGAUACUACCUUGCUGGAAUGCGGAUGCCGUGGGAGGAAUGUGUGGUGUAGCGGUGAAAUGCAUAGAUAUCACACAGAACACCGAUUGCGAAGGCAUCUCACGAAUCCGCGAUUGACGCUGAUGCACGAAAGCGUGGGUAUCAAACAGGAUUAGAUACCCCGGUA
Molecule: ribosomal RNA, 466 nt
Filed under: uncultured bacterium
Lineage: Bacteria
Description: bacterial SSU rRNA
Rfam family: Bacterial small subunit ribosomal RNA
Source: RNAcentral